Molecule: non-coding RNA, 562 nt
Organism: Paramuricea clavata
Lineage: Eukaryota; Metazoa; Cnidaria; Anthozoa; Malacalcyonacea; Plexauridae
Source: the annotation of a GenBank genome assembly
CUAACAGGCAGUUUUUCAAAAUGCAUUUUUCUAACUGUCAUCCUUGCGAUUUGCAUUUCAUUGGAUACAAUAUGAUGACUGAGGAUCCAAUGGUAUUCAUAAUGGAUUGUAAGGUAUUAGCAUUCACAUUUUUCACAUUUUUACAGCACAAUUUCGGGAGAGGAGAGAAAUUUAAAACAGUAUUCUGUUGUGUGACAAAUAUAAUUAGCUGCGUAUACGUUUUACGUCUAAAUAAGUGAGAUGUAUGUUUUACUUCUACAGUAUGUGUAUUUGGAUAUUUACAUUCAAAUAUUACAUUCAAUUUCUUAGCACAAUUUCAAAAAACUGCGAAACAACGUUGAGAAAAGUAGCCCACAUGGAACGUCGCGAUGUCUGACAAUAAAUGGGAAGUAUAUAUUUUGGUCAUAUUGGAAGGAGGCCUUUGCAUGGGACCAAAGAUGCAACUCAUGUCAUUUUCAUGAAAAACUGAAAGAAGAUCAUUUCAUGCUCACGCCCAGUUCAAGAAUGCGCAACGGGUUAGCUGAGGACGUUCUGGAUAAGAAAAUGCUACUUCUCAUGAAGG